This 3324-nucleotide ribosomal RNA is filed under the name Parcubacteria group bacterium ADurb.Bin305. Its description in RNAcentral is "bacterial LSU rRNA". It matches the Rfam family "Bacterial large subunit ribosomal RNA". The record is from RNAcentral.
GAAAUAAAUUAAGGGCAGAUGGUGGAUGCCUUGACACAGUAAGGCGAUGAAGGACGGUGCGUAACUCCGAUAAGCCUCGGGGAGGUGUGUAGCAACCUUUGAUCCGAGGAUUUCCGAAUGGGUAAACCUGUUUCGGUGAUAAACCGAAACGGUCUCUCUCUAAUUUAGAGAGCGACAGCAAACCUAGGGAAGUGAAACAUCUCAGUACCUAGUGGAGAAGAGAGCAACAACAAACACUUUUCUUUUUCUUUUAAGUUUGAAGGAAAAGAAAAGUGUUGCGAUUCCCUUAGUAGUGGCGAGCGAAGAGGGAAUAGUCUAAACUGUUUACUUCAACGCAAGUUGGAGUGAAUAGGGUUAUAGGGAAAAUGCGGGAUUUAUCCGGAAAGCAAAAAAAAUUAAUCGAAGUAUCUGAAAAGAUACGCCAAAGAAGGUGAAAGCCCUGUAGAUGAAAAUUGUUUUUUCUUUCUGGCAUUUUUUCCUGAGUACUCCGAUGGCAGAAAGCUUUGGAGGAAGGUUCCGGAACUACUCCGGAAAGACUAAAUACUUACUGUGCUCGAUAGCGAACAAGUACCGUGAGGGAAAGGUGAAAAGAACCCCGGUGAGGGGAGUGAAAUAGAACCUGAAACCAUCAUGCCUACAAGGAAUCGGAGGGGUGCACCUUAUGGUGCUGCCCUGACGGUGUGCCUAUUGAAGAAUGAGCCGGCGAGUUUAUUCUUACCGCUUUAAUUAAGUUGCUGAAGGCGACGUAAUUAAAGGGAAACCAAGUGUUAAUAGCGCGUCUACACUAACUUGUAUUGGGUUGAGGAAACUUUUACCCAAUAUAAGUUAUUGUGUAAAGGUGGUAGGAAUAAGACCCGAAGCCAGACGAGCUUACCAUGACCAGGAUGAAUUCCAACGAAAGUUGGAAGGAGGUCCGCACCCGUGAGCUGUGCAAAACUCUGGGAGGAGUUGUGGUAAGGAGUGAAAAGCUAAUCGUGUCUGGGAAUAGCUGGUUCUCCCCGAAAUAGCUCUAGGGCUAGCGGUCUAUUUACUCUCGCGGGGGUAGAGCACUGGAUGGUAUGUAAAGGACGAAAGUCCAGCCUACCAAUCAAACUCCGAAUACCGCGCGACGUUAGUCGUGCCUUUUGGCAAGAUUACAAUAGACUAGUCAGACUACGGGGGCGAAGCUCCGUGGUCGAGAGGCAAUGAAUCCGGAUCGCAGUCUAAGGUCCCUAAAUAUAGAUUAAGUGUUGAAUCAAGGUGGUAAUUCACCAGAGACAGUUAGGAGGUUGGCUUAGAGGUAGCCAUCCUUUAAAGAGUGUGUAACAACUCACUAUCAGAUUUACUCUGUAAGCCGUAAGGCUUACAGAGUGGUGAAUUGCGCCGAAAAUUUAACGGGACUAAAAUCUAUUACCGAAGACGCGGUUCUACUCUAAUUUUAUUAGAGUAGAAGGUAGGGGAGCGUUUCCUAGGUGGUGAAGUUCUGGUGUGAACCGGGAUGGAACCUAGGGAAGUGAGAAUGCCGGCAGGAGUAACCACAAGUCCGAUGAGAAAUCGGACCCCCGAAAACCCAAGGUUUCCUUGGCAAUGGAAAUCAGCCAAGGGUUAGGCGACCCUAAGGCGAUGGCGAAAGCCGAAGCUGAUGGAUAGCUGGUUAAUAUUCCAGCCCCCCUAUUUUUUUCGAAGGGAGGACGAAGAGGGUUAGAUUAAGCAUCUUAAUGGUUUGGUGUUCUUGACUGAGAGCGCUUGCUAGGAAAAUCCGGCAAGCAGCAUGCAAAAUGCAAGCUCAAGGGUAGAGACAACUCUAGUUUAUAACUAGGGUAGUUAAUUAAAAACUCUUCCGAGAAAAUUCUCUAAGGUUAAAAAAAUAGGGUUCGUACCAAAAACCGACACAGGUGGGUGAGGCGAGGAGCCUCAGGGGAACGAGUGAUUCCUCGUUAAGGAACUCGGCAAAAAAGCGGGUGUAACUUUGGGAUAUACCCUUCCUGAACCAAACGCGCAAGCGCUUGAGUGCAGGACGCAGUGAAAGUUUCCCUAGCGACUGUUUACCAAAAACACAGGUCCCUGCGAACCAGUAAUGGGAUGUAUAGGGGCUGAUACCUGUCCGAUGCCAGAAGGUCAAAGGUGACGGUUGUUUCGCUUAAGCUUCACAACAGUUAUUAAUUUCCAAAUUUUAUAACUAGGCAAAUGGAGAAUUCUUCUCUAAUCAAAAAUUAAAAUUCAACUCAAUAAAUAAAUUAUUUGUUGGGAGGAAAAUUGAUUUUUGAUGGUCUCUUAUAAAUUUGGAUAUUCGUUGCGGAGCGUAAGCGGAACAGCUGAUUGCCUGAAGCCCUGGUCAAUGACAGCGAUAACUAUAAUCGUUCUAAGGUAGCGCAAUUCCUUGCCGGGUAAGUUCCGGCGUGCAUGAAAGGUAUAACGACUAGGGAACUGUCUCAACGAGGAGCUCGGUGAAACUGCGUGUCCAGCGAAGACGCUGGGUACCCGCAGCUAGACGAAAAGACCCUAGGAGCUUUACUGUAGUUUGGUAUUGACUUUAAUUGUCAAUUGCGUAGCGUAGUGGGGAGACGUUGAAAGUUGCCUUUCGGGGCAGCUGGAGUCGCCAAUGAAACACCCAUCUAUUGAUGGUUAAAGUCUAACCUUGGUGGCAAAAACACUUUGGGACAGUGCUUGACGGGCAGUUUUUGUGGGGCGCAAUCCUCCUAAAAAGUAACGGAGGAAUCUAUCAAGGUUGGCUAUCCCGAGAUGGAAAUUCGGGAGAUAGUGUAAAGGCAAAAGCCAGCUUUAUAGCAAGGGAGGCAUCCCGCGCUAUUGCGAAAGCAGAGCUUAGUGACCCGAUGCGUCAUUGUAGAAGGCGCAAAGACACUGGACAAAAGUUACCCUAGGGAUAACAGGCUAGUGGAGCCCGAAAGUCCAUAUCGACGGCUCCGCUCGGCACCUCGAUGUCGGCUCAUCCUAUCCUGGCGCUGGAGAAGGUGCCAAGGGUUUGGCUGUUCGCCAAUUAAAAGGAUACGCGAGCUGGGUUCAGACCGUUGUGAAACAGGUCGGUCUCUAUCUGCUGUGGGCGUUCGAUACUUGAGGGGAGCUGAUCUUAGUACGAGAGGACUAGAUUGGACGAACCUCUGGUGUACCGGUUGUUCUACCAAGAGCAUUGCCGGGUAGCUAUGUUCGGAAGGGAUAAGCGCUGAAAGCAUCUAAGCGCGAAGCCUACCCCAAGAUUAGGUAUCGUGUUCCGAGCUUUAUUUCGGAAAGUAGAAUCCUAGGAGACUACUAGGUCCAACGUAAAAGUUGGGUUUCAGACCGCAAGGUUUUGGAACGAUAGGCUCUAAGUGGAAGUCCAGUAAUGGA